GUUAAAACCUUGCAAACAAAAUUAUUCUAGCCUGUCACAGACCUGCCUGCUCAGGCAAAUCCAACAGUGCCUGCAGACUGACCCAGAGUUAACUUCAAAGUUGGCAUCCAGCAGCUGUUUCCGUGAGAUCUGGUAUAACUGCUUCAGUUCUCAGAGAAAAUGGGAUUAUUCAGGAUGAGGAUGAGGGGAUCCUUAUAAAACUCACCUCCCCGCUCAUCCACAGGCUCCAGAAAAAAUCCCUGAGGAACCUACAGCUUGCCAGGAUUUGGUGA
RNAcentral lists this long non-coding RNA (272 nucleotides) under Parus major (Great Tit). RNAcentral's name for it is "lncRNA (ENSPMJG00000014346.1)". Lineage: Eukaryota; Metazoa; Chordata; Aves; Passeriformes; Paridae. The record is from RNAcentral.